AUACUUACCUGGCAGGUAAGUCAUUUCCCAUAAUCACGUAGAGAGAAGGGUUUUCCGGAUGAGAUACAUCUAUUGUACUCUGACAGUACUGACUUCUGCAAUUUCCUUAAAUACAGAAAACCCAGCUACAUAAUUUGUGAUAGUGGAGUACUGCAUUUAUGCUCUCCCCUA
Molecule: small nuclear RNA, 171 nt
Filed under: Sphenodon punctatus (tuatara)
Lineage: Eukaryota; Metazoa; Chordata; Lepidosauria; Sphenodontia; Sphenodontidae
Description: U1 spliceosomal RNA (ENSSPUG00000003739.1)
Rfam family: U1 spliceosomal RNA
About the family: U1 is a small nuclear RNA (snRNA) component of the spliceosome (involved in pre-mRNA splicing). Its 5' end forms complementary base pairs with the 5' splice junction, thus defining the 5' donor site of an intron.
Source: RNAcentral